RNAcentral lists this long non-coding RNA (611 nucleotides) under Vulpes vulpes (red fox). RNAcentral describes it as "lncRNA (ENSVVUG00000006409.1)". The record is from RNAcentral. Lineage: Eukaryota; Metazoa; Chordata; Mammalia; Carnivora; Canidae.
AAAUCCAAAGGAAAUAUUUUCACCGAUUCUGGGAAAUUAUUUCCUUUUGGAAGAGACUUGCAUUACUUAAAUUUGAGAAAUACUGUUUAUUACAAAGUAUAAAGUUCCCUCUAUAUGGGCCUACUAAUACAGGAAAAAAAAAUCCUAAAAUGAGAUAAACAAAAAUAUUGACUGCUAUUUUCUUUAUAGAUUCUUUUUUAUCUGAAAGACUGUAUGUUCCCCUGCCACCAAACAAACAGAAGUCAAUAAGUGUCGUAUUAAAGCCAUAUCAAAUUUGCCGACCAUUCUCUAAAUGAGGCAAUGGGCCGUAAGUCUCCCUCAUCCAGUAGAAGCUGUCAGUCCUAUCAUUCUGAGGGAAGUAGCUGUCACUGGUGCUGUGUUGGAGAAUUCUGGAAGGCCAAGGGAAGUAUAUCUAGUCAUUCCUUUCUGGCCGAGUGGGGACUUUGGAUUAAGAGACAUGGUUCAUAAAGAACUUGUUUAGAAACGCUUGCACAAAGGGUCCGAAAGAAAAAGCUUUCAACUUUAUCGUCUGUGAGAAGUAUAAGCAUUUGAUGGUACUGAGGGAAAAAAUUGGGAAAAUCAAAUAAAAGUCAUAUGAGUCUGGCGAAACA